UGAGCAGAAGAAGUGAUUCACAUGGCUAGA
Molecule: non-coding RNA, 30 nt
Filed under: Mus musculus (house mouse)
Lineage: Eukaryota; Metazoa; Chordata; Mammalia; Rodentia; Muridae
Also listed under: 1 other name
Source: RNAcentral